GAUGACGAGUGGCGCACGGGUGCGGAACGCGUAUCGAACCUGCCCCUGUCAGGGGAAUAGCCCAUGGAAACGUGGAUUAAUGCCCCAUGGUACCAUUAUAUCGCAUGAUAUUAUGGUUAAAGAUUUAUCGGACAGGGAUGGCGAUGCGUGCCAUUAGUUAGUUGGUAAGGUAACGGCUUACCAAGACAGCGAUGGCUAGGGGCCCUGAGAGGGGGAUCCCCCACACUGGUACUGAGACACGGACCAGACUCCUACGGGAGGCAGCAGUGAGGAAUAUUGGACAAUGGUGGGAACACUGAUCCAGCCAUGCCGCGUGCAGGAUGACUGCCCUAUGGGUUGUAAACUGCUUUUAUACGGGAAUAAACCCAGGUACGUGUACCUGGCUGACGGUACCGUAAGAAUAAGGACCGGCUAACUCCGUGCCAGCAGCCGCGGUAAUACGGAGGGUCCGAGCGUUAUCCGGAAUCAUUGGGUUUAAAGGGUCCGUAGGCGGGCCAAUAAGUCAGAGGUGAAAGGCCACGGCUCAACCGUGGGACUGCCUUUGAUACUGUUGGUCUUGAGUCAUAGUGGGGUUGCCGGAACAUGUGGUGUAGCGGUGAAAUGCAUAGAUAUCACAUAGAACACCGAUCGCGAAGGCAGGUGGCCAACUAUGUACUGACGCUGAUGGACGAAAGCGUGGGGAGCGAACGGGAUUAGAUACCCCGGUAGUCCACGCCGUAAACGAUGGAUACUAGCUGUGGGGUCUUCGGACUCCGUGGCCAAGCGAAAGUGAUAAGUAUCCCACCUGGGGAGUACGUUCGCAAGAAUGAAACUCAAGGAAUUGACGGGGCCCGCACAGCGGUGGAGCAU
This 849-nucleotide ribosomal RNA is filed under the name uncultured bacterium. Its description in RNAcentral is "bacterial SSU rRNA". It matches the Rfam family "Bacterial small subunit ribosomal RNA", at positions 87 to 940 of the family's 1533-position model. The record is from RNAcentral.